This 291-nucleotide ribosomal RNA is filed under the name uncultured eukaryote. RNAcentral's name for it is "partial 18S ribosomal RNA". It matches the Rfam family "Eukaryotic small subunit ribosomal RNA", at positions 6 to 306 of the family's 1831-position model. The record is from RNAcentral.
GGUUGAUCCUGCCAGUAGCAUACGCUUGUCUCAAAGAUUAAGCCAUGCAUGUCUAAGUAUAAGCAAAUUUAUACGUGAAACUGCGAAUGGCUCAUUAUAUCAGUUAUAGUUUCUUUGAUGGUCCUUGCUACUUGGAUAACCGUAGUAACUCUAGAGCUAAUACAUGCAUCAAUCCCCGACUUCCUGGAAGGGGUGUACUUAUUAGAUGGAAACCAAUGCGGGGCAACCCGGAUUCUGGUGAUUCAUAAUAAUUAUCGGAUCGAUCGUAUGAUCGAUGCAUCAUUCAAGUUU